Molecule: long non-coding RNA, 146 nt
Organism: Haliotis rubra (blacklip abalone)
Lineage: Eukaryota; Metazoa; Mollusca; Gastropoda; Lepetellida; Haliotidae
Exons: 3
Source: RefSeq, a predicted model, not a curated record
UCUCGGCUGUACGGACCUGUUUACAGUCAACUGACAAAGGUGCACCCCUUCACAAUAAUAGACCCAACCAGCUGUGACACGGUCACGUAAUGCAUUAGUAAUCACUUGAUCAGGUGAGCUGAACAAGCUGUAGUGUUAAUGAUGAC